CGAAAGGCUCUUUUCAGAGCCUCUCACAUAUUUAAAGGGAGCCUGU
This is a non-coding RNA of Sarcophilus harrisii (Tasmanian devil), 46 nucleotides long. NCBI's taxonomy places the organism in Eukaryota, Metazoa, Chordata, Mammalia, Dasyuromorphia, Dasyuridae. The record is from Rfam.